AACGCACAUUGCGCCCCCUGGUAUUCCGGGGGGCAUGCCUGUCCGAGCGUCAUUACAACCCUCAAGCUCAGCUUGGUAUUGGGCCCCGCCGACCCGGCGGGCCCUAAAGUCAGUGGCGGUGCCGUCCGGCUCCGAGCGUAGUAAUUCUUCUCGCUCUGGAGGUCCGGUCGUGUGCUCGCCAGCAACCCCCAAUUUUUUCAGGUUGACCUCGGAUCAGGUAGGGAUACCCGCUGAACUUAA
This 240-nucleotide unclassified non-coding RNA is filed under the name uncultured Pseudeurotiaceae. RNAcentral's name for it is "sequence contains ITS2". The stretch from base 1 to 52 matches the Rfam family "5.8S ribosomal RNA", at positions 103 to 154 of the family's 154-position model. Lineage: Eukaryota; Fungi; Ascomycota; Leotiomycetes; Thelebolales; Pseudeurotiaceae. The record is from RNAcentral.